CAAAGAACUUUGAAGAGAGAGUUCAAGAGAACGUGAAAUCCUAGCGGUUGAAGCGGAGAGAGUUGACGUAGCUCGGCGGCUAAGCUUAGUGUUGUCUUUUCGGAGGCUUCGCUUUGUGGUGUCCGCUUAUAGCUGCGCCGGUAGCGUUGUUCGAGCUUUCUGACCUGGUUAGUGUUGCCCACUUCGGUGGUGUCUUGCUGCCGGCGAGGUCUGCCGUAUUAACGUUUAAUUUGCCUUACGGCAAGUACCGGUGUGAAGGUCAGCCACCUUUCCGACCCGUCUUGAAACACGGACCGAGGAGUGUAACUUGUACGCGAGUCAGAGGGUGGAAAACCCUACGGCGCAAUGAAAGUAAAGGUCGGUUAACCGGCUGACAUGGGAUCCGUGCUUCGGCGCGGCGCACCAUGGCCCUGUCUUGAGAGCUUGCUCUUGGGCAGAGGUAGAGCGUACAGGUUGCGACCCGAAAGAUGGUGAACUACACUUGAGCAGGACGAAGCCAGAGGAAACUCUGGUGGAAGUCCGUAUCGGUUCUGACGUGCAAAUCGAUCGAUAGACUUGAGUAUAGGGGCGAAAGACUAAUCGAACCAUC
RNAcentral lists this ribosomal RNA (589 nucleotides) under Oscheius myriophilus. RNAcentral's name for it is "partial large subunit ribosomal RNA". It matches the Rfam family "Eukaryotic large subunit ribosomal RNA", at positions 367 to 944 of the family's 3401-position model. The record is from RNAcentral. Lineage: Eukaryota; Metazoa; Nematoda; Chromadorea; Rhabditida; Rhabditidae.